Molecule: ribosomal RNA, 492 nt
Filed under: uncultured bacterium
Lineage: Bacteria
Description: partial 16S ribosomal RNA
Rfam family: Bacterial small subunit ribosomal RNA
Source: RNAcentral
AGUGAACGCUGGCGGUAGGCCUAACACAUGCAAGUCGAACGGCAGCACAGUAAGAGCUUGCUCUUACGGGUGGCGAGUGGCGGACGGGUGAGGAAUACAUCGGAAUCUACUUUUUCGUGGGGGAUAACGUAGGGAAACUUACGCUAAUACCGCACACGACCUACGGGUGAAAGCAGGGGAUCUUCGGACCUUGCGCGAUUGAAUGAGCCGAUGUCGGAUUAGCUAGUUGGCGGGGUAAAGGCCCACCAAGGCGACGAUCCGUAGCUGGUCUGAGAGGAUGAUCAGCCACACUGGAACUGAGACACGGUCCAGACUCCUACGGGAGGCAGCAGUGGGGAAUAUUGGACAAUGGGCGCAAGCCUGAUCCAGCCAUACCGCGUGGGUGAAGAAGGCCUUCGGGUUGUAAAGCCCUUUUGUUGGGAAAGAAAGGCAGCAGGUUAAUACCCCGCUGUUCUGACGGUACCCAAAGAAUAAGCACCGGCUAACUUCGUG